GAUGAACGCUGGCUACAGGCUUAACACAUGCAAGUCGAGGGGAAACGGCAUUGAGUGCUUGCACUGAAUGGACGUCGACCGGCGCACGGGUGAGUAACGCGUAUCCAACCUUCCCGUUACUGCGGGAUAACCUGCCGAAAGGCAGACUAAUACCGCAUGUUCUUCGAUGACGGCAUCAGAUUCGAAGCAAAGAUCCGUCGGUAACGGAGGGGGAUGCGUCUGAUUAGCUAGUUGGCGGGGCGACGGCCCACCAAGGCGACGAUCAGUAGGGGUUCUGAGAGGAAGGUCCCCCACAUUGGAACUGAGACACGGUCCAAACUCCUACGGGAGGCAGCAGUGAGGAAUAUUGGUCAAUGGGCGGAAGCCUGAACCAGCCAAGUAGCGUGCAGGAUGACGGCCCUACGGGUUGUAAACUGCUUUUAUGCGGGGAUAAAGUGAGGGACGCGUCCCUUUUUGCAGGUACCGCAUGAAUAAGAACCGGCUAAUUCCGUG
Molecule: ribosomal RNA, 492 nt
Filed under: uncultured bacterium
Lineage: Bacteria
Description: partial 16S ribosomal RNA
Rfam family: Bacterial small subunit ribosomal RNA
Source: RNAcentral